GUAGGUGGCAAGCGUUGUCCGGAAUUAUUGGGCGUAAAGCGCGCGCAGGCGGUUCUUUAAGUCUGAUGUGAAAGCCCACGGCUCAACCGUGGAGGGUCAUUGGAAACUGGAGAACUUGAGUACAGAAGAGGAAAGCGGAAUUCCACGUGUAGCGGUGAAAUGCGUAGAGAUGUGGAGGAACACCAGUGGCGAAGGCGGCUUCCUGGUCUGUAACUGACGCUGAGGCGCGAAAGCGUGGGGAGCAAACAGGGAUUAGAUACCCUGGUAGUCCACGCCGUAAACGAUGAGUGCUAAGUGUUAGGGGGGUUUCCGCCCCCUUAGUGCUGCAGCUAACGCAUUAAGCACUCCGCCUGGGGAUACGGCCGCAAGGCUG
This 373-nucleotide ribosomal RNA is filed under the name uncultured organism. Its description in RNAcentral is "partial 16S ribosomal RNA". It matches the Rfam family "Bacterial small subunit ribosomal RNA", at positions 527 to 896 of the family's 1533-position model. The record is from RNAcentral.